Brienomyrus brachyistius is the source of this 1592-nucleotide long non-coding RNA. RefSeq lists it as uncharacterized. The transcript has 3 exons. The record is from RefSeq and is a predicted model, not a curated record. Lineage: Eukaryota; Metazoa; Chordata; Actinopteri; Osteoglossiformes; Mormyridae.
UAUUUGCGUGAAGCCUUAAGGAUCUGGGGCAUGAUGGAGUUUGUUUACAUGGGGGCUGUAUGCUGCUUCGGUUUCUUUUAUUUUAAUAAGUUGCUGAGAUCGGAUUUGCCUGUCAUUCAGCCAUUUGGCUUCUAAUCGCGCUUAAUGAAAGAUUUAUCUUCAUGCUAAUUGGAGAUGAAAGAUCCUCGUUCAGCCAUGAUCCUGCCUCAAAUGUCAGGACCGAACCAGAAAGGAACUACAGCCAACCAAUCAAGUUGCAGCAUCAACAUGACCAGUCGGGCUGCAGUGUCAAAUUGACCAAUCGGGCAGCAGCCUGAACUUGCUGUACAGAUUUAUGAUGAUGUGAUUCUCUGUACCACUUCUCCAUGAUGGCCUACAGCAGUGCAGUGCUGGAGUAACUAAAGUUGAUUAAAGCUUCUUAAAUACUGCCAGAACGAAGGGUAAAGCCCUGGUACAGGUUUGUUCCCCAAGUGGAGUGUGUUAAGGACUCUUGGUAUCCAGCAUUUCACAGGAGAUACCCCCCGAGCUACAAAUGCUGCCACAGCUUCGAUCUCACUGCUUUGUUUGUGGUGCUGCGGCCUUGUCCAUUAACAGACUGUCACGGGUCGCAGAUAAGGAGUCACUAAAGGUAAAUGUUGCUAUGCUGGCUUAUGUACUGUUUUACUCACAUUGAAAACACAACCUGCAUAGCUAAAUAUUUUAAAGGGGUUUAUUCCUCCCAAAAUAAUGCAUCUAUGUGUGUUUCACUCUGAUUAUGGAGCCUGGGUCGAACCCCUCCCCCACUUCUGAAUGGUCCGUCCCAAAGCAUGGCAACACAAGUUGUUUCAUUUGUAAAUUUCUUAUGUUCUUAUCUUCUUUUGGCUUUUAACCCUCGUUUCUCUCUCCAUUCAUUUCUUUGAAGGGGGUCGUUGUCCCAAACGUCACAUACUGUGUCAGUUUCGGAGUUGCAGAGAAUCUGAGCUUGGCACAGACGCCUGAACACAAACCACCUUCCAGACCUGGUUACUGCCAGCUUUUGAUGAGCUCUCCCUGAUCCAAAACCCAGAGGGCAGGUUUGGUUUGACGGGGCCUCAGCCAUCAUGUUUUCUGUGCUUGUGUGACACCGCUUGGAACCAUCAUUCUUGCACAGGUGCCAGCGGUUGGCUGGAUCCGAAAGGCUCGUCGUGGUGCAGCAAGAUUUGUGAACCAUAAGUGUUUUGUGGAAAAUGCUUCAGCUUAAGUUCUCUGGUGCUUCUUUGGUGGUUUUACAAUUUUAUCUGCAAUUGUUACGCAAUCGACCCUGAGGGUUUCUGCAGAAGGAAAACACACCAAUUGCUCCUCUUCUCCACUCUCAAAUACAGUACAUGCACCUUUCCACUAGAUCCUACAGGGAACUUUAGUGCAUUGAGGUGCACAUACAUCUUCAGACUUCCCAGGAUCGUUAAUGUCUGUAUUCAGUAAUCAUGAGCCUGUGUUUUACUGUAUGUCUAAAAGGUCUGAAAUUAAAUAUUUAUUUCCCAAUCUAAUAUAAUCUAAUCAGUUGUUACUCAUCAAUCAUUCAUCCUUUAUCGAAAUGGCGUUUGCUGCCAGAGCAUGUAGAUUUGUUGAUCAUC